CCCUUAGAUGUUCUGGGCCGCACGCGCGCUACACUGAUGCAUUCAACGAGUCUAAAACCUGCUCUGAUAGGGGUGGGUAAUCUUUUGAAUGUGCAUCGCGAUUGGGAUAGAUGAUUGCAAUUUUUCAUCUUCAACGAGGAAUGCCUAGUAAACGCAAGUCAUCAGCUUGCAUUGAUUACGUCCCUGCCCUUUGUACACACCGCCCGUCGCUCCUACCGAUUGAAUGAUCCGAUGAAUAUCAUGGAUUGAGGAUGCAAGUAGGUUCACCUAUCUUCAUCUUCGAGAAGUGAAGUAAAUCUUAUCAUUUAGAGGAAGGAGAAGUCGUAACA
RNAcentral lists this ribosomal RNA (329 nucleotides) under uncultured eukaryote. RNAcentral's name for it is "partial 18S ribosomal RNA". It matches the Rfam family "Eukaryotic small subunit ribosomal RNA", at positions 1470 to 1796 of the family's 1831-position model. The record is from RNAcentral.